Molecule: ribosomal RNA, 434 nt
Filed under: uncultured bacterium
Lineage: Bacteria
Description: partial 16S ribosomal RNA
Rfam family: Bacterial small subunit ribosomal RNA
Source: RNAcentral
AGCGAACGCUGGCGGCAGGCCUAACACAUGCAAGUCGAACGAACCUUUCGGGGUUAGUGGCGGACGGGUGAGUAACACGUGGGAACGUGCCUUUAGGUUCGGAAUAACUCAGGGAAACUUGUGCUAAUACCGAAUGUGCCCUUCGGGGGAAAGAUUAAUCGCCUUUAGAGCGGCCCGCGUCUGAUUAGCUAGUUGGUUGAGGUAAUGGCUCACCAAGGCGACGAUCAGUAGCUGGUCUGAGAGGAUGAUCAGCCACAUUGGGACUGAGACACGGCCCAAACUCCUACGGGAAGCAGCAGUGGGGAAUCUUGCGCAAUGGGCGAAAGCCUGACGCAGCCAUGCCGCGUGAAUGAUGAAGGUCUUAGGAUUGUAAAAUUCUUUCACCGGGGACGAUAAUGACGGUACCCGGAGAAGAAGCACCGGCUAACUUCGUG